CCUGAUCCUCCAAAUGUCUGGAAACAAGGCAUCCAUGGCUCUGGACUUCUUCCUUGAUGCUGCAAAGAAACCUGACUUUACAUCCAGCCUCCAAAGAUGAUCUUGACAUUGUUAGAACAGCCCUUCACUGUGAAUGGAAGACUGUCAACCCCUCAUGAGGACGAUGAGAGGUUCCAUUUUUCCAGGUGUGGAUCAUGCUGGAGUACAGUGAAGUGAAUAAGCUCCAUAUAUCAUUCAUAUUAAACCAUUACAAGAAAUUGAGUUGUAAUAGCUUUACUGAAGAGGGGGAA
Monopterus albus (swamp eel) is the source of this 290-nucleotide long non-coding RNA. RefSeq lists it as uncharacterized. The transcript is spliced from 3 exons. The record is from RefSeq and is a predicted model, not a curated record. Lineage: Eukaryota; Metazoa; Chordata; Actinopteri; Synbranchiformes; Synbranchidae.